This 477-nucleotide ribosomal RNA is filed under the name uncultured bacterium. Its description in RNAcentral is "partial 16S ribosomal RNA". It matches the Rfam family "Bacterial small subunit ribosomal RNA", at positions 30 to 507 of the family's 1533-position model. The record is from RNAcentral.
AUUGAACGCUGGCGGCAUGCCUUACACAUGCAAGUCGAACGGUAACAGGUUAAGCUGACGAGUGGCGAACGGGUGAGUAAUGUAUCGGAACGUGCCCAGUCGUGGGGGAUAACUGCUCGAAAGAGCAGCUAAUACCGCAUACGACCUGAGGGUGAAAGCGGGGGAUCGCAAGACCUCGCGCGAUUGGAGCGGCCGAUAUCAGAUUAGGUAGUUGGUGAGGUAAAGGCUCUCCAAGCCGACGAUCUGUAGCUGGUCUGAGAGGACGACCAGCCACACUGGGACUGAGACACGGCCCAGACUCCUACGGGAGGCAGCAGUGGGGAAUUUUGGACAAUGGGCGCAAGCCUGAUCCAGCCAUGCCGCGUGCGGGAAGAAGGCCUUCGGGUUGUAAACCGCUUUUGUCAGGGAAGAAAAGGUUCUGGCUAAUACCUGGGACUCAUGACGGUACCUGAAGAAUAAGCACCGGCUAACUACGUG